CGUCAGUUCGUACUGUGAAGCAUCCUGUUAAGUCAGGCAACGAGCGAGACCCACGCCAACAGUUGCCAGCUCGGUCCUCCCGGGGAUGGUGGGGACACUGUUGGGACCGCCUCUGCUAAAGAGGAGGAAGGAAUGGGGCAACGGUAGGUCAGCAUGCCCCGAAUUAUCUGGGCUACACGCGGGCUACAAUGGGUGGGACAAUGGGUAUCGACACCGAAAGGUGAAGGCAAUCUCCUAAACCCAUCCGUAGUUCGGAUUGUGGGCUGCAACUCGCCCACAUGAAGCUGGAAUCUGUAGUAAUCGUGUCUCAAAAUGGCACGGUGAAUAUGUCCCUGCUCCUU
This 341-nucleotide ribosomal RNA is filed under the name uncultured Methanomicrobiales archaeon. Its description in RNAcentral is "bacterial SSU rRNA". It matches the Rfam family "Archaeal small subunit ribosomal RNA", at positions 1002 to 1338 of the family's 1478-position model. The record is from RNAcentral. Lineage: Archaea; Methanobacteriati; Methanobacteriota; Methanomicrobia; Methanomicrobiales.